AGAGUUUGAUCCUGGCUCAGGACGAACGCUGGCGGCACGCUUAACACAUGCAAGUCGAACGGAGAAUUUUGGAUUUAUUCAGAAUUCUUAGUGGCGGACGGGUGAGUAACACGUGAGCAACCUGCCUUUGAGAGAGGGAUAGCUUCGGGAAACUGAUGGUAAUACCUCAUGAUGUAUAUUUGCCGCAUGACAGAUAUACCAAAGAUUUAUCACUCAAAGAUGGGCUCGCGUCUGAUUAGCUAGAUGGUGAGGUAACGGCUCACCAUGGCGACGAUCAGUAGCCGGACUGAGAGGUUGAACGGCCACAUUGGGACUGAGACACGGCCCAAACUCCUACGGGAGGCAGCAGUGGGGAAUAUUGCACAAUGGGGGAAACCCUGAUGCAGCGACGCCGCGUGAGUGAAGAAGUAUUUCGGUAUGUAAAGCUCUAUCAGCAGGGAAGAAGAAAUGACGGUACCUGACUAAGAAGCCCCGGCUAACUACGUGCCAGCAGCCGCGGUAAUACGUAGGGGGCAAGCGUUAUCCGGAUUUACUGGGUGUAAAGGGAGCGUAGACGGUAAGGCAAGUCUGAAGUGAAAGGCUGGGGCUCAACCCCAGGACUGCUUUGGAAACUGUCAAACUAGAGUACAGGAGGGGUAAGUGGAAUUCCUAGUGUAGCGGUGAAAUGUGUAGAUAUUAGGAGGAACACCAGUGGCGAAGGCGGCUUACUGGACUGUAACUGACGUUGAGGCUCGAAAGCGUGGGGAGCAAACAGGAUUAGAUACCCUGGUAGUCCACGCCGUAAACGAUGAUUACUAGGUGUCGGGGAGUAAUGACUCUUCGGUGCCGCAGCAAACGCAAUAAGUAAUCCACCUGGGGAGUACGUUCGCAAGAAUGAAACUCAAAGGAAUUGACGGGGACCCGCACAAGCGGUGGAGCAUGUGGUUUAAUUCGAAGCAACGCGAAGAACCUUACCUGGUCUUGACAUCCCGAUGACCGGUCAGUAAUGUGACCUUUUCUUCGGAACAUUGGAGACAGGUGGUGCAUGGUUGUCGUCAGCUCGUGUCGUGAGAUGUUGGGUUAAGUCCUGCAACAAGCGCAACCCCUAUCUUUAGUAGCCAGCAAUUCGGAUGGGCACUCUAGAGAGACUGCCGGGGAUAACCCGGAGGAAGGUGGGGAUGACGUCAAAUCAUCAUGCCCCUUAUGACCAGGGCUACACACGUGCUACAAUGGCGUAAACAGAGGGAAGCGAAGUGGUGACAUGGAGCAAAUCCCAAAAAUAACGUCCCAGUUCGGAUUGUAGUCUGCAACUCGACUACAUGAAGCUGGAAUCGCUAGUAAUCGCGAAUCAGAAUGUCGCGGUGAAUACGUUCCCGGGUCUUGCACUCACCGCCCGUCA
RNAcentral lists this ribosomal RNA (1378 nucleotides) under uncultured bacterium. RNAcentral's name for it is "bacterial SSU rRNA". It matches the Rfam family "Bacterial small subunit ribosomal RNA". The record is from RNAcentral.